AUGGAGACCUGUAUGAAUGGCAUCACGAGGGCUUAACUGUCUCCUUUUCCAAGUCAAUGAAAUUGAUCCCCCCGUGCAGAAGCGGGGCUGCAAUCAUAAGACGAGAAGACCCUAUGGAGCUUUAGACACUAAAGCAGACCAUACAUUUCCUCCCCCAUAAAGAGAAGGAACCAAAUGAUCCCCUGCCCUAAUGUC
Molecule: ribosomal RNA, 195 nt
Filed under: Rypticus saponaceus (greater soapfish)
Lineage: Eukaryota; Metazoa; Chordata; Actinopteri; Perciformes; Serranidae
Description: partial large subunit ribosomal RNA
Source: RNAcentral